CUCACGGCCUCUCUGCCUGUCCCUCUGUCCCCUCAGGAGAUCCCCCGAGACCUCACGCUGGAUGCCCUGCUGGAGAUGAAUGAGGCCAAGGUGAAGGAGACGCUGCGGCGCUGCGGGGCCAGCGGGGAUGAGUGUGGCCGUCUGCAGUAUGCCCUCACCUGCCUGCGGAAGGUGACAGGCCUGGGAGGGGAGCACAAGGAGGACUCCAGUUGGAGUUCGUUGGAUGCACGGCGGGAAAGUGGCUCAGGGCCUUCCACGGACACCCUCUCAGCAGCCAGCCUGCCCUGGCCCCCAGGGAGCUCCCAGCUGGGCAGAGCAGGCAACAGCGCCCAGGGCCCACGCUCCAUCUCCGUGUCAGCUCUGCCCGCCUCAGACUCCCCCACCCCCAGCUUCAGUGAGGGCCUCUCAGACACCUGUAUUCCCCUGCACGCCAGCGGCCGGCUGACCCCCCGUGCCCUGCACAGCUUCAUCACCCCGCCCACCACACCCCAGCUGCGACGGCACACCAAGCUGAAGCCACCACGGACGCCCCCCCCACCCAGCCGCAAGGUCUUCCAGCUGCUGCCCAGCUUCCCCACACUCACCCGGAGCAAGUCCCAUGAGUCUCAGCUGGGGAACCGCAUUGAUGACGUCUCCUCGAUGAGGUUUGGUAAGAGAGAUUCAUUUCCAUCCCCUCUACCACCUGGGAGUCGUGUGUGCGUUGCUGUCCCCAUCGGGGGUGGACCUCUUUGACCCACCUCUUAGCCCGUUCAGCCUCUCCAUAGUCCAGAAGCAGAGGUGCUGGUGACCGCCUCAGGAAAUAGCCCUAAGACAGGUGGCCUUAAAGUGACUGGCUGGCUUCAGCCCAGCUGGUGGCUGCUCUCUGAGAAGCAGAGACCUUGAGCACAUCUCAGCCCACAGGCAGCCCCAUGAAGAGCCCUGUCUGCACCUUGCCCUUCCCCACCGAGA
This 948-nucleotide small RNA is filed under the name Pan troglodytes (chimpanzee). RNAcentral describes it as "retained intron". The record is from RNAcentral. Lineage: Eukaryota; Metazoa; Chordata; Mammalia; Primates; Hominidae.